ACCUUACCUACUCUUGACAUCCAGAGAACUUUCCAGAGAUGGUUUGGUGCCUUCGGGAACUCUGAGACAGGUGCUGCAUGGCUGUCGUCAGCUCGUGUUGUGAAAUGUUGGGUUAAGUCCCGCAACGAGCGCAACCCUUAUCCUUUGUUGCCAGCGGUUAGGCCGGGAACUCAAAGGAGACUGCCAGUGAUAAACUGGAGGAAGGUGGGGAUGACGUCAAGUCAUCAUGGCCCUUACGAGUAGGGCUACACACGUGCUACAAUGGCGCAUACAAAGAGAAGCGACCUCGCGAGAGCAAGCGGACCUCAUAAAGUGCGUCGUAGUCCGGAUUGGAGUCUGCAACUCGACUCCAUGAAGUCGGAAUCGCUAGUAAUCG
RNAcentral lists this ribosomal RNA (376 nucleotides) under uncultured Enterobacter sp. RNAcentral's name for it is "bacterial SSU rRNA". It matches the Rfam family "Bacterial small subunit ribosomal RNA", at positions 968 to 1344 of the family's 1533-position model. The record is from RNAcentral. Lineage: Bacteria; Pseudomonadati; Pseudomonadota; Gammaproteobacteria; Enterobacterales; Enterobacteriaceae.